Molecule: long non-coding RNA, 233 nt
Filed under: Carica papaya (papaya)
Lineage: Eukaryota; Viridiplantae; Streptophyta; Magnoliopsida; Brassicales; Caricaceae
Description: long non-coding RNA (CPAP_LNC002222)
Source: RNAcentral
AUGCAUGCAUGCAUGAAAAAUCGCAUGCAAGUUUUGGGUUUAUCACUAACUCGAGAAGGAAUUUUUCCCAGCAAUUUUUUUCUCAACUUUGGGGACAUUUUUGGAGCUCAAAUAAUUUUGUAGGGACUUCAAAAUUGUAAGUAUAAUUAAUUGGUAACACGAAGCCUUCAUAGCAUCAGUUUUUAUUGAAUUGCGUUAACCGAAUAAGAAUUUACAAGCUUGCAAAAAGGGGU